AGGGACACAGUUGCACUUACAAGUGAAAUUUUUUCUCUAAUGUAUGAAUAAAUUUUAUGUGGAUACCCACCAUGAUUUCCUGAUGUGGUAUAGUUUAAAAGCAAAAAAUUAUAGGUGAGUAGCCACUAUCAUAGUUCCUUUCAAGUCAUUGCUGAAUCUCGCUGUUAAGACUCUUUGGUUGUAAUGCCUGCAGAUUUGGUUAGCCCCACUCAGGUAGUGCAGACAAGCAGGGGCACUAGCAGCAGUGGGCAGCCCAUUCCCUAGGCCUUUGCCCACCCUUCAGGGAUCACUGUGCUCUUGCAGUGAUAUGUUAGCAUAUCUCUAAGCCUGUGCAUUUCUGUACUUGGCUUAUAGCCAACUGGCAGAGGCUGAUAUUUUGAUACUGCUUUACAGCUAGAAAGCUGCCUGCAGCUUCAGCUCCAGCUGAUGCCUUGAGAUCUGAAAUGGGAUUUUUAAAGUGAGUUCCAAUGUUUUCAUUAUUAGCUCCUUCUCAUCUUUUCAAAUGCUUUGGGUGUGCUUACGCCUAAAGGUGACCAGCUCUACAGAUGUGCACAGUGGAGAAUCAGGUACCUUUCUUCCCUUGCUUUUCAGACAGCAUUCUGACAGCGUGAUGAAGUUUCUCUUGCAAGGGGAAUAUGGAAGGAAGAGGUCUUUUGAACACCUUCAUGUGAGUGAUGUAAUUUGUCACAAAAAAGCAAAAGCUUCCAUCUGGAGGAAAGAAAUCUCUUCUGCUCCUGACCCUUUCAGACCUCAUGUCGCUGUAUUUAGCUUUAACAGAUGGAUUCUACCGAUUUGAUAUGAAGACAGAAAAAAAAGACUGAAAACACGAAAAGAGUUGAAAAAUAUAGAGUCAUUAAAGCCUUGAAUUAUCACUAACUGCAGGUCACUGGGUGAAUCUUCACUGGAUUCAUGGGUCAUUGACCAAGACUCGCAGCUUGUUCCUGCCCUAAACUGCACAUGAAUUAAGAAGACUCCAUUAAGAAGGUGACUGCUGCUAAGCUCCUCUAACGUGCAAGUUAGCGAGAGGAGGAGGGACUGCUGGCAUACACCGUAUCUCCAAGGAUGUGACUAUUCCUACCAGACAGCUACAUUCUAAAAUAAGUUUCAGUUCUGAGCAUCACCAAGAUCUAUCUUCUGAAAGCAAGAGCAAUUGCUCUGAGCAGUGAAGAUUUCUGUAGAAGAGCACAACUUCUCCUAUUUGUGCACGGACUGUCUUCUUGUUCUUGGUCAGACUGAAUAAAUAAAAACUUUCUCACA
This 1257-nucleotide long non-coding RNA is filed under the name Phasianus colchicus (ring-necked pheasant). RNAcentral describes it as "lncRNA (ENSPCLG00000008774.1)". Lineage: Eukaryota; Metazoa; Chordata; Aves; Galliformes; Phasianidae. The record is from RNAcentral.